Harmonia axyridis is the source of this 972-nucleotide long non-coding RNA. RefSeq lists it as uncharacterized. The transcript has 2 exons. NCBI's taxonomy places the organism in Eukaryota, Metazoa, Arthropoda, Insecta, Coleoptera, Coccinellidae. The record is from RefSeq and is a predicted model, not a curated record.
UAUUUAUUUAAUGUUGAUGCUCCUUUAUUAUUUCAAUGUUGAUUUAUUUAUACAUAUAUUGUUUAUUUUUUGUUGAUUUUUUUAUUUUUGUUUACUGCUAAUAAAUUAUAUGUUUAUUCUACUAUCGACUUUUAUUUGCACAAAAUGUAAUAUCAUCACAUAUUAUACCAGUUAUUUAUAAAAAAAUUCAAAUGGUUUUUGGUCAUCAUAGCACCAAACUCCAUUUGGAUUGCUUAAUAUUUCGUUAAUAAAUUCAAAACAAGUAUAGGAAAACCACUCACUUCAAAUUUCCCGCGUUUGUCGAGUUUGUUCUUGGCCCGGUCGCCAGGGGGAGCUAAUUUCAAAUGAUUCUACUUUAGGUAGGGGAGUGUCCCAUCCAUAGACAAAUAAAGAGAAGACUGACGACUGCGUGGAGUCGUUUGAAAUGUUGAUGCUAGCGACCCGAGGGACAGGGUUAGGAACUAAUGUAUCGCUAUUUCACACAAAAACAUCAUCCUUAUCUACUGAUGAAAUGUUUUCGGCGUAAAUUCCAACCUCUCUUUUGUGUUUCAGUUCUCCCCUGAUUAUUAUUUUCUUGCAGGUACAAGUUUGUUAAUAAUAAUAACAAUCUUUAUUUCAGAAGGUUCUCAUUUACAAAAAAAUAACAAAUGAAACAAUGUCAAAAACUCUUUACAUAUAAAAAUCCCAGAUUUUAGAGGAUUCCAGUUGAAUUAAAUGAUCAUGUAGGUUUCAAAAGGCUUACGUUGGAGUUCUGCCAAAGAAUUGAAGAUUCCAAUUCUCAAUCAAUCCUUCGAUUUCCUGGAUAUUUGUCAGUUAUCACAAAAAUAAUUAUUUUAUCUUCAAAUGAAAUGUUUCCUUCUUUAAUAUUUGAGUGGUACAAUACGAUAUAUAUAAUUUGAUUCAAUUAUUUCAUUAAUUUCUGUUCACAAAUAUCAAUUUGUAUAAUUAUGUGCAAUAAAAAGUAUGUCAAAA